This 496-nucleotide ribosomal RNA is filed under the name uncultured bacterium. Its description in RNAcentral is "partial 16S ribosomal RNA". It matches the Rfam family "Bacterial small subunit ribosomal RNA", at positions 28 to 506 of the family's 1533-position model. The record is from RNAcentral.
GAUGAACGCUGGCGGCGUGCCUAAUACAUGCAAGUCGAGCGAACGGACGAGAAGCUUGCUUCUCUGAUGUUAGCGGCGGACGGGUGAGUAACACGUGGAUAACCUACCUAUAAGACUGGGAUAACUUCGGGAAACCGGAGCUAAUACCGGAUAAUAUUUUGAACCGCAUGGUUCAAAAGUGAAAGACGGUCUUGCUGUCACUUAUAGAUGGAUCCGCGCUGCAUUAGCUAGUUGGUAAGGUAACGGCUUACCAAGGCAACGAUGCAUAGCCGACCUGAGAGGGGGAUCGGCCACACUGGAACUGAGACACGGGCCAGACCCCUAGGGGAGGCAGCAGUAGGGAAUCUUCCGCAAGGGGGGAAAGCCGGACGGAGAAACGCCGGGGGGGUGAAGAAGGGCUUCGGAUCGUAAAACUCUGUUAUUAGGGAAAAAAAUAUGUGUAAGUAACGGUGCACAUCUUGACGGUACCAAAUCAGAAAGCCACGGCUAAAUACGU